GGUUUGUGGCUCAGUGGUAGAGUGCUUGCCUAGCAUACCUGAGGCUCUGGGUUCAAUCCUCAGCACCA
RNAcentral lists this transfer RNA (68 nucleotides) under Marmota monax (woodchuck). RNAcentral's name for it is "tRNA.Ala". The record is from RNAcentral. Lineage: Eukaryota; Metazoa; Chordata; Mammalia; Rodentia; Sciuridae.